GCCUAACACAUGCAAGUCGAACGGUAACAGGAAACAGCUUGCUGUUUCGCUGACGAGUGGCGGACGGGUGAGUAAUGUCUGGGAAACUGCCUGAUGGAGGGGGAUAACUAUUGGAAACGGUAGCUAAUACCGCAUAACGUCGCAAGACCAAAGAGGGGGACCCUCGGGCCUCUUGCCAUCGGAUGUGCCCAGAUGGGAUUAGCUUGUUGGUGGGGUAACGGCUCACCAAGGCGACGAUCCCUAGCUGGUCUGAGAGGAUGACCAGCCACACUGG
RNAcentral lists this ribosomal RNA (274 nucleotides) under Escherichia coli. Its description in RNAcentral is "partial 16S ribosomal RNA". It matches the Rfam family "Bacterial small subunit ribosomal RNA", at positions 46 to 316 of the family's 1533-position model. The record is from RNAcentral. Lineage: Bacteria; Pseudomonadati; Pseudomonadota; Gammaproteobacteria; Enterobacterales; Enterobacteriaceae.